UAAAAUAUGUGUAGUUGUGGU
RNAcentral lists this non-coding RNA (21 nucleotides) under Arabidopsis thaliana (thale cress). The record is from RNAcentral. Lineage: Eukaryota; Viridiplantae; Streptophyta; Magnoliopsida; Brassicales; Brassicaceae.